CAACUAAUUCUGCUUGGUCCCUAGUUGAUGAUUCACUCUUCCGAAUUCACUCGAUUCCUUUUAGGGGAAAAAGUUAACAUUUCACUUUCUCAAAGUUCUAUCUUGUUCAAAAUUCCAAGUUAGAACCUUGAAAAAGUCUCCUUUUUUUUUUUCUCUCUGUGAAAAUUAUAUAUCAUUAACCUGUAAUUUUCAAGUAAUUAAAUCAAUGAAAAUAUGCAAAAUCAACUAAAUUGUAUGGCAAAUCAUAUUGAUUGCAUGCUUGUUUAGGAUUGAAAUCCUAGGAAAACAUGCAUGAAAUCUUAGGUCCACCACCAUUCUGAAUACUGCAACUAAUUCUGCUUGGUCUCUAGGAGGUUUAUGAUUCACUGUUCCCAGUUCAUUAGAUUCCUUUUAGGUGAAAAGGUUAAACAUUUCACUAUCUCAAAGUUCUAGCUUGUUGAAAAUUCAAAGUUAAAACCUUCAAAUACUUUUUCUUAUUUUCUCUCAGUGAAAAUUAUAUAUCAGUAACUUGUAAUUUUCAAGUAAUUACAUCAACGAAAAUAUGCAAAACAUUAUAUGACAAAUCAUAUUGAUUGCAUGCUUGUUUAGGAUUUAAAUCCUAGGAAAAGAUGGAUGAUUUUGUAGGUCCACCACCAUUUUGAAUACUUCAACUAGUUCUGCUUGGUCCCUAGCAGGUUGACGAUUCAUUGUUCCCAAUUCACUAGAUCCCUUUUAGGUGAAAAAGUUAAAACAUUUCACUAACUCGAAGUUCUAUCUUGUUCAAAAUUCAAAGUUAAAACCUUUAAACAGUUUUCUUUUAUUUCCUUUUGUGAAAAUUAUGUAUCUCUAACUUGUAAUUUUUAAGUAAUUACAUCAAUGAAAGCAUGCAAAACCCACAAAGUUAUAUGACAAAACAGCUAUAUACGAGAAUGUUGUUGUGAAAUUAAUGCUGGAAUACAAGUCAACCUGCAAGUAGCUUGUGAUAUUUAAUGUCCCAAUUUAUGAAUUCACCCUGUGGGUUCGUUGAGCUUUUAAUUGCAAAAUGGUUAAUUUUUGAGGGGGAUCCACCACUAAUAUGGAAGUUGAAAUUAACAGCUGGUUUCCCCAAGUUGCUCUUCUUCUGCAUACAUUAAGAUUUCCCUUUGUGAAGGUGGUGAAUGAUAAUGUUUAAUUCUGAACCAUAACUUAUGAUUGAAUACUAUUCAAUGUGGCAGUUGGAGGUUGCUGUUAUGUCACAUAUAUAAUCGAGUUAUCACUGUGCUUCACAUGUUUCGUGAUAAAAAUCUGCUGGAUGGCUUAAAGAAUUUUCUUGAAAAGAUUCUUUUUAUAUGCGAAAUUAUAUAAGCCUUACGUUUGAAUAGAAAGUGCCCAUCAAAGCAUGUGUUAAUAUAGAUUGCAAAA
RNAcentral lists this long non-coding RNA (1380 nucleotides) under Carica papaya (papaya). RNAcentral describes it as "long non-coding RNA (CPAP_LNC013839)". The record is from RNAcentral. Lineage: Eukaryota; Viridiplantae; Streptophyta; Magnoliopsida; Brassicales; Caricaceae.